GAUGAACGCCGGCGGUGUGCCUAAUACAUGCAAGUCGUACGCACUGGCCCAACUAAUUGAUGGUGCUUGCACCUGAUUGACGAUGGAUCACCAGUGAGUGGCGGACGGGUGAGUAACACGUAGGUAACCUGCCCCGGAGCGGGGGAUAACAUUUGGAAACAGAUGCUAAUACCGCAUAACAACAAAAGCCGCAUGGCUUUUGUUUGAAAGAUGGCUUUGGCUAUCACUCUGGGAUGGACCUGCGGUGCAUUAGCUAGUUGGUAAGGUAACGGCUUACCAAGGCGACGAUCAGUAGCCGGACUGAGAGGUUGAACGGCCACAUUGGGACUGAGACACGGCCCAG
This 343-nucleotide ribosomal RNA is filed under the name uncultured bacterium. RNAcentral describes it as "bacterial SSU rRNA". It matches the Rfam family "Bacterial small subunit ribosomal RNA", at positions 28 to 334 of the family's 1533-position model. The record is from RNAcentral.